This 253-nucleotide ribosomal RNA is filed under the name uncultured bacterium. RNAcentral describes it as "partial 16S ribosomal RNA". It matches the Rfam family "Bacterial small subunit ribosomal RNA", at positions 524 to 776 of the family's 1533-position model. The record is from RNAcentral.
UACAGAGGGGGCAAGCGUUGUCCGGAAUCACUGGGCGUAAAGGGCGCGUAGGCGGCUCGUUAAGGGUGCGGUGAAAGCCCGGGGCUUAACCCCGGGUCGGCCGUGCCGACUGAUGAGCUCGAGCACUGUAGAGGCAGGUGGAAUUCCGGGUGUAGCGGUGGAAUGCGUAGAGAUCCGGAAGAACACCAGUGGCGAAGGCGGCCUGCUGGGCAGUGGCUGACGCUGAGGCGCGACAGCGUGGGGAGCAAACAGG